UACGUAGGGUCCGAGCGUUGUCCGGAAUUACUGGGCGUAAAGCGCGCGCAGGCGGCCCGCGAGGUGUCACGUGAAAGCCCCGGGCUCAACCCGGGAGGGUCGUGGCAAACCGGCGGCUUGAGGCCGGUAGAGGUGGGUGGAACUCCUGGUGGAGUGGUGAAAUGCGUAGAGAUCGGAAAGAACACCAACGGCGAAAGCACUCUGCUGGGCCGACACUGACACUGAGAGACGAAAGCUAGGGGAGCGAAUGGG
This 252-nucleotide ribosomal RNA is filed under the name uncultured bacterium. RNAcentral describes it as "partial 16S ribosomal RNA". It matches the Rfam family "Bacterial small subunit ribosomal RNA", at positions 524 to 776 of the family's 1533-position model. The record is from RNAcentral.